CCCUCUAGAGAAAGCACUUUCUG
Molecule: microRNA, 23 nt
Filed under: Macaca mulatta (Rhesus monkey)
Lineage: Eukaryota; Metazoa; Chordata; Mammalia; Primates; Cercopithecidae
Description: Mml-Mir-430-P33_5p* (star (passenger))
Source: RNAcentral